This 303-nucleotide unclassified non-coding RNA is filed under the name uncultured fungus. RNAcentral's name for it is "partial contains 5.8S ribosomal RNA, internal transcribed spacer 2, and large subunit ribosomal RNA". The stretch from base 1 to 52 matches the Rfam family "5.8S ribosomal RNA", at positions 103 to 154 of the family's 154-position model. Lineage: Eukaryota; Fungi. The record is from RNAcentral.
AACGCACCUUGCGCUCCCUGGUAUUCCGGGGAGCAUGUCUGUUUGAGUGUCAUGAACUCUUCAACCCACCGGUUUCUUGUAAACUGGCUGGUGUUUGGUUUCUGAGUGUUGCUCGUCCUUGUGACUGAGCUCAUUCGUAAUAUAUGAGCAUCUCUAAUUCGAAUUCGGAUUGACUCAGUGUAAUAGACUAUUCGCCGAGGACACACCUAGUGUGGCCGAAUAAGAUAAUUGUAGAAGCUUCUAACCCUCCUAGUCAUUUUAAGAUUAGACCUCAGAUCAGAUAGGACUACCCGCUGAACUUAA